AAACUGCAGACAUGUUUUGAUUGUGUUCUUUCUUGGAGUCUGACUUGCAUCUUUUCUGUUUCAAGGAUGGUGCCGUUGACAUUGAAGGGCUCAAAUGUGAAAUCCUUUGCAAGGCUCUCCAGAGAGACGACUGGUCCUCUGUGGAUGGGAGCGACGACCCAGUCGAAGCAGCAAAGGACAGCAUCUUUGUCAAGAUCUUGCAGAAGCUCAUUAAAGAGGGGGUUUGUCUGCAGACUUACUUGCCUGACGUCGAUGCCCUGCUUCAGUCAGAAGAGCUGGAGAGACUGCGGUCCAAGACCUACUUUGAGUUUGCUCUGCGGGCCAACUAUGAACACUAUCUGCAAGCCCAGACAUGAGCUGACCGAGCGCCUCUCCCAACUGUGACUCCACUCAGCUCGUGGCCUCCCGGGCCCUUCGUUUUUAGUCUUCUAAAAACUAAUUUCCCAUUUUGUAAUAAACUUUGCCGAAUUUCUGUUCUCUCCCCUGUUCUUCGUCGUCAUCCGAAAGUCCUAGCACAAAGCUUAAUGGAGUUGAAGCAAGGGCAGAGUUUGUUUAUAUGUUUAUUAUUAAAAGAUUUUCAAUUUUCUGUAUAAAGCAACUGUUUAUAGUUUACAGUUACAAUGAAUAGUAAUGGAGACUUACUAAAAUAUUGUUACACAUGUCUGUGUAGUAUCUGCUGUUGUUGAAAGAUUGAGUGCAAAGUGCAAAAUCUUUUAUUACCUUAAUGAGCCUGAAAAAUGGUCAGCUACCCUCUUGAUAUAAUGAGAUCGUUUAUAACUGUCAUUAAUUUCCACUGUGCUUAGUUUCUUAUGCCUUAAUGGCAUAAUGAAAUAUUUAGAGAAAAGGCUUCUGUUUCUUAAAAGUCCAUGCCUUGUAAAAAAUGGCUUUGCAACUAUCAGAAUGAGCAUACACCCCUUCUACACAGGAGUGAAUGCUGCUGGAAUAUAGUGCUGUAGGAAAAACCUGACUGUACAGGCACCGAUUUCCAUUGAUCCUGAAGAGCUUCAUGGAUCAAUAAGCACCUCGGGAAGCUGCUUGGAAGAAAUCAUGCAGAGCUCUGUCUAACCUCUGAGCUGUUAGGCAAGGCAAGCCAAGCCACCAGCUUCAUGUGGCAGGAGCUGAGCCGAAAGCAGCAAUGCUCCAAACAGAUGUCGCCGUGUCUUCAAGUUGCUAAAAUAGGAAAGGAGAGUUAAAUCAGGGACAUCUGCAAUAAAUUAAAUGCUGAAUGUGACAGAUUUCCCCGUCGCUCAAUAUGGAAGUUCUGUGCAGAAUUGUAAUGUUGUAUAGCUUCAUGGUCGUUGGCAAAUAAUUUUACUUCUGCUUCCUUAAAGGCUCUUAAUCAUUCCAAGUAGCGUUUUCCAUGUAAUCACUUGACAAAAAGUGUGUAAUGCAAGGAGUCCAAAGUGUUUCUUUUUCAAAUAAAAAUACUUUUAUGUAACCUAAUGCUUAAACUAAUCUAAAUUUAAAAGUAUUACAGUGAUGCAUGUAUGGUGCUUUUCAGACUUCUCUGCCUCCCUUGGAACACAGGCUCUUUCCAGACUCACUUUCAGGGGUUGUCAGAUUUAGAAAUCUGUCCCUCAGAUAGUUAGGUUGAAAAACAGCAAUAAAAUAUUUUGUGACUCAUUGAUAUGCAGAAGUGUGUAAAAUGAACUUUGGGGGCAGAUCGAGGCCGGGAGCUGUGUCCAGUCUCUGUCCAGCUUUGCUGUCCUGCACUUUGCUUCCCGGAUACAUGGUCAGCAGAGGAUCAAUCCUCUACUGGAA
RNAcentral lists this long non-coding RNA (1761 nucleotides) under Lepisosteus oculatus (spotted gar). RNAcentral describes it as "lncRNA (ENSLOCG00000021613.1)". Lineage: Eukaryota; Metazoa; Chordata; Actinopteri; Semionotiformes; Lepisosteidae. The record is from RNAcentral.